RNAcentral lists this long non-coding RNA (976 nucleotides) under Setaria viridis. RNAcentral's name for it is "long non-coding RNA (SVIR_LNC008341)". Lineage: Eukaryota; Viridiplantae; Streptophyta; Magnoliopsida; Poales; Poaceae. The record is from RNAcentral.
CGCUAGUUGCCAGCUCAAAUUGGAGCUCUAGCAAGCAUGGAAAGAGGAGCGAGAUUUGCAUUCAGUAGCAAACAUGACUGCAUAUUUUGUUGCACUUUGUACCGGAGCCGAAUCCUGAAGCUGUUUCUCAGUUGAUGAAGAUGGAACUCAAAUCAACAACUGUGAGCUGCUUAGUUCCUAAAGAUCUUGCUUCCAUUUUUUUUUUCAAACGACCAUUGAUGAACAACAAAGUUUGCUCAACAAACAAGUACACAUCCGCAUAGUUUAACUUGCCUUGCACACAUGUUAUUCCACAAGGAAGAGAUGAAACCGGGUGACUGUUUCAAGAUGGACAGGAGCAAAUUCUUCCUUGCAUGCAUGCUUGCAAUGGCCUGCAGUGCCUACAAAGUACUACACGAUACCAGUACUUGCCAAGCAACAUCCCAAACGGCCUCACGAAGAAGAAGAAGAAGCUCCGCGCCCGCCAGCUUUGGGAUGCACCUUCUUCUUGAUCAACCCAAAAAGUCCGCCGUCUCCUUUGACGCCAGCUUCUCCAGUAGUAGUCUUCUUCCCUGAUGCUCCAUCGCCGGCCUUUUUCUCUCCUUGUGCCGCCGAGCUGCCAUCGACGGCGGCGGCGUUCGCUUCUGCCAUCCCAGUCUCCUUCUUACAGGCGUUCUUCCGCACGUAGGCCUCGGCGAAGUCUCCGCUUAUCAUGGACGCCAUCUUCUUGCUCUGUUUCUCCGGCGCGGCGCCCGGGUUUUCCCAAAGGGCUAAGUGUGUAGUUUUUUUUUCCUUUACCCUCUCGGCCUCUCCUGUACUGUGAGUAAGCGUAGACGAGUGUAGCAAGGGCUGUAUAUAUAGCGAGAAAGGAGGAGAAGAAACUUGGGAUCCAAGGCAGGUAACUCGGCGUGUAGUUUCGGUUCCCUUGACGACCUGCUUGGUUGAACUGCACGGUUGGUGAGAUGCCACCGCAGCAUGAUUGACGAAGCGUUCGCUC